This 224-nucleotide unclassified non-coding RNA is filed under the name Hevea brasiliensis (rubber tree). The record is from RNAcentral. Lineage: Eukaryota; Viridiplantae; Streptophyta; Magnoliopsida; Malpighiales; Euphorbiaceae.
AGGAAUGGAAAUUUAUUAUUUAGAGUAUAGUGAAUAGAGGGUGAGAGUAAGUAUUAGGUACGUGGGUAAAGGGGUAGUUGUGUUAAGUUUGGUUUGUAUUGAUAUUAAAUUUUUUGAAGGGUAGGGUAAGUGAUUUGGGAGAGUAGUAGAUUUAAAAUAUUUUGUAGAUGAGAUUAUAGGGGAAGUUAGAGGAUAUUAUUAAGGGUAUUAUUUAGAGAAAUAUG